UUGACAUGGUACAUGUCUCUACCCUAGUAGAUAUUUUUUUUAACUAUGUUAUAAAUGAUUAUUGUAUAGCGAAUUUUAGUGAACAAAAUGACAUUUUAAAGUUUAGCAAUAACAAAAAAACGUGCAUAAGACAGGAAAUUGAAGAGGACACUGAAGAAGAGUUACUGGCACUAUAAAAACAACUUAACGUCCCCUGUCUUAAAAAUAAGCGGUUGUUGUCACAUAAAGAUGCUCGACAAAACGAUUUGGUUAUAUACGCUCAUAUAUUGUGAACGUUGGAUAUGAAAAUAGAAUGGCUUUUUUAGUAUAGAAACUAGAGGACUAGGAAGAAAAAGGAGAAAACAAAGAAGAAAAACAAGAAGAAGAAAAUUCUUAAUUUAAUACUGCUAUUAUGGUUGAUGUUGACAUUAUUGUUUAUAGAAAUAGAAACGUAUACUACAUCAAUAUAAAAAGAAAAAUAACAAAAUAGUUUUUCGAUUCUUGAAUUAUUCCAAAUAUGCAACAUAUGGCAGUCAAGUAAAACUCUUCAUAUUUUAAUAAAAUACUAAAAAGCAUGUUUUUUUAUUAUCAAUUUAUCCUUCAAGUAUUGGUAAAAAAUAGUAGUCUCAUUGAGCCACGA
Anthonomus grandis grandis is the source of this 619-nucleotide long non-coding RNA. RefSeq lists it as uncharacterized. The transcript is spliced from 3 exons. The record is from RefSeq and is a predicted model, not a curated record. NCBI's taxonomy places the organism in Eukaryota, Metazoa, Arthropoda, Insecta, Coleoptera, Curculionidae.